Molecule: ribosomal RNA, 35 nt
Filed under: Thallostonema queenslandense
Lineage: Eukaryota; Metazoa; Nematoda; Chromadorea; Rhabditida; Strongylidae
Description: partial large subunit ribosomal RNA
Source: RNAcentral
UGCAACCUGAGCUCAGCCGGGACUACCCCCUGAAC